Molecule: long non-coding RNA, 3478 nt
Organism: Neopsephotus bourkii (Bourke's parrot)
Lineage: Eukaryota; Metazoa; Chordata; Aves; Psittaciformes; Psittacidae
Exons: 3
Source: RefSeq, a predicted model, not a curated record
UUUUCCCCUACCAGUUCAGAAAGAAUUGUGAUAAUAACUGAAUGGUAUUUUCAAGCUGUAAAUUCGUAUGACUUUAGUUGUAAUAUACUAAGCAUAUAGUAGUGACUUCAAUGUUGAAAACUGUGGGAGGUGUUAGCACUACUGCAAAACACAUUUUUUAGCGGAAUCCAGAAAUAGUCAAGAAGGCUAAAUUGGUUAUGGUAGUUUGCUUUCAGUGUGUCAAGGAUUUGGUAAUAAAUCGUGUGCUUGGUGAGACUCCCAGGAGCUGAGAAAACCUCACACAAAUUCAGAAAUUUCUAUAAUAAAAUACAUAACUUCUGUAAAUGUCUAGUGUCUAAAAACUGUUAAUACAAAAGCUGAUCUUGUAGACAUAAAUUUUUGAAGUAGCUCCUCUUCAGGAAACCUGAAUGCCAGAGGCAUCUGUAGUGAACAGUAUUUUGAAAAAGUAUGUCUGUUAUCAUAGGACCUUACUGGCAGUUCUAAGCAUUAUGUUUUGUCUGAGAAUAAGAAGAGAAUGCGUUGGAGCAAUACCUAAUCUUUCAUAAACCCAGUCUGAAGUCCAUUAUAAUAAUAACCAGAAACCUAUUUAAAUGUCUGAAAUAUCACAGCAUGGCAGAUUAAUGGAUAUUUUAGUGAUAUGGAGAACUGCAUUAUCUAUUUUAGUAGACCAGCAUGAUCUUUUCAAAAUACCAGUUGUUUUAUCUGAAGUACACAGAUACUAAUAUCAGCCCAUUUUAAAGAAAAUGGAUCAUCAUGACAUUUCAAGAGCACCAGUAAAGGUAGUUUUGAGUAUAUGUUUUCCCACUGUAGGAGUGUAAUGCAUUUUCGUUCAUGUCCAACAUGCAUUAUCCAUCCCUUUUAUCUGCAGCGACAGAGUAAAAAGCACUUAUUCCUUUAAUACUUUCAUUAAAUGUUUGCAGUGUUAUAUUUUUUUCUCUGUGGUGCAUUAAGCUAACAGUAGUUAGUAUAAUGUAGGGUUUUCAUGCAGACUGAUGUAUUAAAUUAUUGUAAUCAAGGUAUUUAGCAUUGCAAUGAUUUCUGGUAUCAUAAUUAAACCCAGAAUUAACUGCUUUUAUAUUUUUUUUACUCUCCAGCUCCCAAAUUACUUAAUACUAGUGAAAAAAUGUGAACUUAUUGAUACAACAUGAAGUAGUUGUGAUGCUGGUCUUUGGGGGGGAAAGCAUGCAGAUAUGCUUGGAAAUGCCCAGUUACUAACUUCUCUCUAGUUUCCCCCUAACAGGGAAGAGGCCAGAGAGGACUUUUUGAUAGCCAGCUGAGAAAGUUACAUCACAAAUGUUUUAGAAUGACAAAAAUAAUUCCAUGAAUUAUGACCUGUUUCUACGAGACUCUAGUGAUGCACCUUAGUGAAAACAGAUUGAAAUCAUGUUGUGCUGUCCUGGCUGGUGUUUUCAGGAUACCUAUGUUAUCAGAAUAUUUGCUAACUGUGGUUUAAUUGAAGGUUCAUUAAAAAUGUCAUCAGUCAUUGUCAUGAUGAGAUGUGCGGAUGGGCUAACAGUUCCAUUGUCUUUGUCAGUUAUUGUUUCACUGACACACUGAAUAGUAGAGAUACCAUUUUCUUUUUUUUUUAUUUUUUAAUCUUAAAACUUUUUGUGUGCACUUCAUUUCAUUCUUCACUUCUAUUUUUCUCGAGCAGCAUCAAAUUUGAUUUGAACUGGCUCAUUUGUUCAGUUGUGUUCAUGUCUCGAGAGCCAUCAGCAGUAAGUAAACACAUAAAGUAUAUAAAGUAAUACUGGAUAACAAUAAAGUAAUCCAGUAAAUAUUGGAUACCAACUAGUAUAAAGUAAUAUUGGAUAACAACUACAAGCCCUUGUAGUUCUUGUUUAAAGAAUAAUUUUUUUUUUUCCACCCAUUUUCUUAUUUUGGAUGUGUGUUUAUAACCCUUGAAACUACCACUUUGGGUUAUUCCUGGAAAUAAUGUCAUUGCAAUGUGUUUGUGGUACUGGGGAUUUAAAAUUAAUCUGGAUCAUGUCUUCUGUCUUCAGAUAACCAACCUUAAUGCCACUUCUGAACUCCACUGUGGCAUGUGGUUUUGAGAAAGACUGCAAAGGGGCAUAAAAGAACUGCAUCCUAAUUUUAUGCUUCAUUUCCUCCACGUGUUUGAAUUCGGCCUCCAGAAGUUUGUUCAGCAGAAUGUUUGGUAGAGGCAACAGAACUCUUGAGCACUAAUGAGGAAAUCAGGAAGGUCUGAUGCUGUCUGUGCAAACUUUAUAAGCAGCCUGAUGCCAUUGAGAACUCUCCUGACAGUACGUAGAUUGUCCUCUGAGGGUGUCUGUCUUCUCUGAGCAGAGAGGGAUUCUUGAUAACCUACUGAAACAAUACGCUUUCUUAAAUGGAAAAUCAAGCAUGAUCCAUCCUGCUUCCAAAUUCUGUGUUUGAAUGCAUGAUGUUACAUAAGAGAGGACUUGUAAAAUAUGAGGAGAUACCUGUAGGAAAACAGCAUUAAUUUAAAUAUAAUUUCCAUAUCACUGGCAGAUUUAGACUUGCUAAUGUUGCAUGAAGCACAAGAUGUUAAAAAAAUGUAUAGGAAAAAUGUUUUUAUUCUGUCUGUGGGAAGGGGGGUAUUCUUUUUUUUUAUAUUCAAAGUUCUUUGUGAAGGGUCAGCUGUGUUGUUUCUGUUUUAUAGUCAGCAAUAUUGCCAGUCUUUGCUGAAAAAUACCAUUUACAAUAAAAAGGAGUCAUAAGGGGUGUAGUUGCACUUGAGAGAAAUGAGAGUCUGCUUUUAGUGUCUUAUCUACUGAUGAACAUCACUUGUUGCUUUCAACUUUAUUCUAUAAAUUAACUCUACUCGUUUAACUUAGUUGCACCAAUAAAUUCAAUCAACUGAAAGGGCUGUAUUUAUGGAAAUAUGUUUGACUUCAUUGUUUAUCUCAUGUAAUUUGAUUUAUAUUUAAAAAAAUCAUGUUGCACAAACAGCAGUAUGAUUUUAUUGUAAUUUAGGUUUCUUUCCAGUGAAACUGUGGAGAACAGGUUUGAAACUGUGAACUGCUACACGAGAAUAACACCAUGAAACCAACAGCUGGGAAGUUUGUGUCAGACCUCAUAGUGAGCCCACAGUCUGUGUCUUUAAAGUAUUAAUUUUGAAUCCAGUGCCUUCAGUAUUACUACCUUUGGGUUUAAUGAGGAAAACACUACACUAAGUUAGUUUAGAUAUCUGUAGCUCCUGUUUUUCCUUUAUUCUCUUUGUAUUUCUUACGGUUGUUUCCCCAUUGAGUCUGGUUUAAGUUCCCAGCUGGGUAUUUUUGCUUCAAACUUUUCCCUAGCAACUUUCAGAAAUCUGCAAGGUUUGUGAAGAAAACAGAAGGGGAAUUUGUGGGUUUAUUUUCUGCAGUGUGUUUUUCCAAGAAGAGUUUGAAAAUGUUGAUCCUUUUUUUCAAUGGAAAAAAUACUUGAUCAUUGUAGGAAGGUGACAGUGUCUCAGUCACUGUGAAUACAACAGCAUUAUAUGGUAUUCUUUUAC